Molecule: ribosomal RNA, 486 nt
Filed under: uncultured bacterium
Lineage: Bacteria
Description: partial 16S ribosomal RNA
Rfam family: Bacterial small subunit ribosomal RNA
Source: RNAcentral
GAUGAACGCUGGCGGCGUGCCUAAUACAUGCAAGUCGAACGCUGGAGAUCUAGCUUGCUAGAUCGAAGGAUUGGCGAACGGGUGAGUAAUACAUAAGCAUCCUACCCACGAAGACUUGGAUAAUCUCUGGAAACGGGGACUAAUACCGGAUAGGUAAUCGGAAGGCAUCUUCUGGUUAUUAAAGGUUAAAAACACUGGUGGAUGGGCUUAUGGCGCAUUAGUUUGUUGGUGAGGUAACGGCCAACCAAGACGAUGAUGCGUAGCCGGCCGGAGAGGGUGAACGGCUACAAUGGGAAUGAGACACGGCCCAGAAUCCUACGGAAGGGAGGAGUAGGGAAUUUUCGGCGAUGGGGGCAACCCUGACCGAGCAACGCCGCGUGAGUGAAGACGGCCUUCGGGUUGUAAAGCUCUGUUGUAAGGGAAGAACGGUAGAUAGAGAAUAUCUAAGUGACGGUACCUUACCAGAAAGCCACGGCUAACUACGUG